AAUGAACGCUGGCGGCAGGCCUAACACAUGCAAGUCGAACGGAUCCUUCGGGAUUAGUGGCGGACGGGUGAGUAACGCGUGGGAACAUACCCAAAGGUACGGAAUAGCCUCGGGAAACUGGGAGUAAUACCGUAUGUGCUCGAAAGAGGAAAGAUUUAUCGCCUUUGGAUUGGCCCGCGUUGGAUUAGGUAGUUGGUGGGGUAAUGGCCUACCAAGCCGACGAUCCAUAGCUGGUUUGGGAGGAUGAGCAGCCACACUGGGACUGAGACACGGCCCAGAGUCCUCCGGGAGGAAGCAGUGGGGAAUCUUAGACAAUGGGGGAAGCCCUGAUCUAGCCAUGCCGCGUGAUCGAUGAAGGCCUUAGGGUUGUAAAGAUCUUUCAGGUGGGAAGAUAAUGACUGUACCACCAGAAGAAGCCCCGGCUAACUCCGUGCCAGCCGCCGCAGUAA
RNAcentral lists this ribosomal RNA (449 nucleotides) under uncultured bacterium. Its description in RNAcentral is "partial 16S ribosomal RNA". It matches the Rfam family "Bacterial small subunit ribosomal RNA", at positions 29 to 523 of the family's 1533-position model. The record is from RNAcentral.